CACGUAGGAGGCGAGCGUUGUCCGGAAUCAUUGGGCGUAAAGAGCGCGCAGGCGGCUUGGCAAGUCGGGUGUGAAAUCCCCAGGCUUAACCUGGGAACUGCAUUCGAGACUGCAUUGCUAGAGUAUGGGAGAGGGAAGUGGAAUUUCCGGUGUAGCGGUGAAAUGCGUAGAUAUCGGAAGGAACAUCAGUGGCGAAAGCGACUUCCUGGCCUGUUCUUGACGCUGAGGCGCGAAAGCUGGGGGAGCAAACGGG
RNAcentral lists this ribosomal RNA (253 nucleotides) under uncultured bacterium. Its description in RNAcentral is "partial 16S ribosomal RNA". It matches the Rfam family "Bacterial small subunit ribosomal RNA", at positions 524 to 776 of the family's 1533-position model. The record is from RNAcentral.